This 85-nucleotide transfer RNA is filed under the name Felis catus (domestic cat). It matches the Rfam family "tRNA". From Rfam's summary of the family: Transfer RNA (tRNA) molecules are approximately 80 nucleotides in length. Lineage: Eukaryota; Metazoa; Chordata; Mammalia; Carnivora; Felidae. RNAcentral also lists the same sequence under 4 other names. The record is from Rfam by way of RNAcentral.
GCCUGGAUGCCUCAGUCGGUUGAGUGUCUGACUUUAGCUCAGGUCAUGAUCUUAUGGUCCGUGGGUUUGAGCCCCACACUAGGUU